This 114-nucleotide ribosomal RNA is filed under the name Sulfuricurvum sp. RNAcentral describes it as "partial 16S ribosomal RNA". It matches the Rfam family "Bacterial small subunit ribosomal RNA", at positions 1 to 111 of the family's 1533-position model. Lineage: Bacteria; Pseudomonadati; Campylobacterota; Epsilonproteobacteria; Campylobacterales; Sulfurimonadaceae. The record is from RNAcentral.
AUUAUGGAGAGUUUGAUCCUGGCUCAGAGUGAACGCUGGCGGCGUGCCUAACACAUGCAAGUCGAACGAUGAUAGAAGAGCUUGCUUUUCUUGAUUAGUGGCGCACGGGUGAGU